AGGAGGACCCGGUUUCCCGAGUCUGGUAACUCUUGAAAUGUUUUUUCGGGGUGCUGGGCCCGGCCGGUCCGACUAUCCCCGAUCUUCGCCAUCCAGCCCCGAUACAAUAGUGUUGGCACAGCCCGUGGUUGGAACUGUCCCCGCCACUUAAUAAUCUCCAUGAUUGGAAAGGGGUGUAAAUUAUGCAAAAAAAAAUUUAAAAUGAAAUUUAAAUAUAAUCAUGUUUAUGAAAUUUACACUUACAAAUAAAACAAAUUUUAAAAAAUUAAAUACAUUGAGGCAAAUAAUCAAUCAGAUGGUCAGAUGGUAAAUUAAUCACUUACUAUCUUAAUAGAUUCGAAUUUAAUUCGGCCUAUGCCUUCAGUUUUUUAGGAUGGUCCAGGCCCAACCUGCUGAACUUCAUUCUUCAGCCUUUCGGUUGACCUCACUAAAUGUUUUGGAUCCUUAAUAAUCUCCAUGAUUGGAAAGGGGCGUAAAAAAAUUUUAGCUAGCCAGUGAUGAGCUCUAAAAAUGACAUCGCUAGAUAAAGUAUAUCCUAUGAAUGAUAUGUCAUUUUAGCUAACCUAGAAGUCCUAUUUGAUGAAAUUAAAAAUAAAAUUUAUAGAGCUACUAUAUUCACCUGGAGACAUUUUCCGUUAUCUUGAAUUAUGCUACCGAAUCAUACUGAGGAAUAUUUGGCGAAAACCACUUAUAAAUCACAUCACGAGCUGGCCAUUGCCCAUGAUAAGAUCAUUGGAAGGUUUCGGAUGAUAUUAAACAAGCCAGAUAGGACCCAUCCUUAUAAAAAUGAUGUUUCGAAUCCGGAAUUGAACCCAUUCAGAAAAAUAAUAAUCGAUUGUAUAACCACGUUUCAAUCCUAUGGACUCAGAGCAUUCAAAUAUGAUCAAAAUAUAUUUUUGUUACAAAUAUUGCCACUUUCUACUCAGGCAGAAUACUGAAUAGCGGGACGAAACAGACCCUGCCAUCAUCCAGAUUAUGAAAGACAGGUCGAAAGCAUUAGCCCGGACUCCAUGAAUAAGUUUUUUCGAGAAUCUUGUUUUUCAGAAACCCAGUGGAAAGCAGAAGCAUUUCCAUAGGGCGAAUACAGCCGAUUGAUAAAAACAUAUAAUAUGGAAACAUGCUAAUAUCAUGAUGUGGUCUAACAGAUGACUGACAAACAUUUGACCAAUAGACAUUUUUUGUGUCAAUAGAUGACGCCACAUUUCCAUUCUAGUAGAACAUUAAAUGACGGGGCGAAACAAGCCCUUUCACAGAUUGCCCACCCCUGCGGAGGAGUCAUCCGGAUUGUGGAAGACGGGAAUCGACGUGCCGGAC
This 1314-nucleotide long non-coding RNA is filed under the name Androctonus crassicauda. The record is from RNAcentral. Lineage: Eukaryota; Metazoa; Arthropoda; Arachnida; Scorpiones; Buthidae.